This 253-nucleotide ribosomal RNA is filed under the name uncultured bacterium. RNAcentral's name for it is "partial 16S ribosomal RNA". It matches the Rfam family "Bacterial small subunit ribosomal RNA", at positions 524 to 776 of the family's 1533-position model. The record is from RNAcentral.
UACGGGGGGUGCAAGCGUUGCUCGGAAUCACUGGGCGUAAAGCGUCCGCAGGCGGCUUGAUAAGUCGGGUGUGAAAGCCCGGGGCUCAACCCCGGAACUGCAUUCGAAACUGUCUCGCUUGAGUACGGAAGAGGGUCGUGGAAUUCCUGGUGUAGAGGUGAAAUUCGUAGAUAUCAGGAGGAACACCGGUGGCGAAAGCGGCGACCUGGUCCGAUACUGACGCUCAUGGACGAAAGCGUGGGGAGCAAACAGG